This 237-nucleotide unclassified non-coding RNA is filed under the name Leishmania donovani. RNAcentral's name for it is "gene:unknown". Lineage: Eukaryota; Euglenozoa; Kinetoplastea; Trypanosomatida; Trypanosomatidae. The record is from RNAcentral.
AGCCUUGCUUACGAAUCCUUGGAAGCGUGUAAUCAAGCCCGACAUUAGCACCACUGCAAUAGGCGGCUACAUGGACAUUUUACUCCCCUUCCAUAGUCACCUACCCCUGCGUGCGAGAUCUGUGAACUGCCCUGCGCAGCUGUGCGCGAAGAGGUGUGCGUGCCUGUGUGUGUGUGUGUGGAUGAUCGACGAGCGUGCCGGCUACGAUGGAUCAUGAUUGAUCAUCACAGGAAACCG